CAAACCCUUAAGUCAAACCACCGACAAGACAACGAUGAGAAGGGGCGCGUGGCCGCCACAGGUUCAUCCCCAUCCCUCAAUCUUCCCUCACAACUCAUUUUACGUGGACAGCCGCCCACCAACAGCCUCAGGUCUCAACACAAUCAAAGCUUUUACUUAGCGAUUCUUCCUCAAGUUUCAGAACUCCACAAGGACCACAAAAAAAAAAAAAAAAGAAAGAAAGAAGAAAAACUCUGGCGUAUCUAUGGCGUCCAUGGCUAGUGCAAGUGUAGCUCCUGCUGGAUUCUCAUACGGCAGGCCUCCAUUUUCUGCUUCAGAGAAGCCGAGGAGAACGGUGGUGGUGAGGGCUGAAGCCGUAAACCCGGGUAUCAGGAAGACCGAAGACAAAGUGGUGGACUCUGUUGUUAUCACCGAACUGAAUAAGCCUCUCACUGCUUACUGCAGGCCAUAGCCAGGGGUUUUUGAUGACACAGUCAAAAUUCUUUUGAGCGGUGACGGAUUGGUUGACUUGUUGGAGCAAGUGUUGGCGGUCUGGGACUUUCCCUUUAUGCGAUGGAAGCCAUGUGAAGCACAAUAAGGCUACCGGAGACAAUGUUGGGCCUCUGCUAGUGAAGAAGCAGUGAAUGGUAAUGAUAUAGCACUAUACAUUCUCGAAUAUUCCAAACUUGGUGCAGCACAGUAUAUCGUGUUCUGUUGGGGAAAUCUUUGUAUGCUCUUAAUGUAAUAUGAUCUUUAUCUGGAGUUGUAAUAAUUCCUGUAGUGGAAAUUCCUUCUGAUUUUAACUAGUUCGAUCAGAACUUGCUUUGUUCAAGACCUAUGUAGUUUUAACGAGUAUCUAUUCUCCAUCCAUGAUCAAUCUUUACUUUUUCUA
This is a long non-coding RNA of Coffea arabica (coffee), 871 nucleotides long. RefSeq lists it as uncharacterized. The record is from RefSeq and is a predicted model, not a curated record. NCBI's taxonomy places the organism in Eukaryota, Viridiplantae, Streptophyta, Magnoliopsida, Gentianales, Rubiaceae.